ACAACCCGCCGAAAGGCGGGCUAAACCCGCGUACAUGCCACCGGGGCAUCCCGGAGGCAGGAAAGGCUUCGGCCGGACAGGGAUGGGCAUGCGGCGCAUUAGGCAGUAGGCGGGGUAACGGCCCACCUAACCGACGAUGCGUAGGGGUUCUGAGAGGAAGGUCCCCCACACUGGUACUGAGACACGGACCAGACUCCUACGGGAGGCAGCAGUGAGGAAUAUUGGUCAAUGGUCGGGAGACUGAACCAGCCAAGCCGCGUGAGGGAUGAAGGUACAGAGUAUCGUAAACCUCUUUUGUCAGGGAACAAAGGCGGGGACGUGUCCCCGGAUGAGUGUACCUGAAGAAAAAGCAUCGGCUAACUCCGUGCCAGCAGCCGCGGUAAUACGGAGGAUGCGAGCGUUAUCCGGAUUUAUUGGGUUUAAAGGGUGCGCAGGCGGUCUGUUAAGUCAGCGGUCAAAGCCCGGGGCUCAACCCCGGCCCGCCGUUGAAACUGGCAGUCUCGAGUUGGAGAGAAGUAUGCGGAAUGCGCGGUGUAGCGGUGAAAUGCAUAGAUAUCGCGCAGAACUCCGAUUGCGAAGGCAGCAUGCCGGCUCCACACUGACGCUGAGGCACGAAAGCGUGGGUAUCGAACAGGAUUAGAUACCCUGGUAGUCCACGCAGUAAACGAUGAAUGCUGGCUGUCCGGGGGGGAUUGACCCCUGGGUG
Molecule: ribosomal RNA, 706 nt
Filed under: uncultured bacterium
Lineage: Bacteria
Description: bacterial SSU rRNA
Rfam family: Bacterial small subunit ribosomal RNA
Source: RNAcentral